UCUUUCGUAGUAUAGUGGUCAGUAUAUGAGCUUGUCAUACAAAAAGAUGGACUACAUCUUGCAGUAACAACGCUCGAGACCCGGGUUCAAUUCCCGGCGAAAGAG
This 105-nucleotide transfer RNA is filed under the name Coniella lustricola. It matches the Rfam family "tRNA". From Rfam's summary of the family: Transfer RNA (tRNA) molecules are approximately 80 nucleotides in length. Their secondary structure includes four short double-helical elements and three loops (D, anti-codon, and T loops). The record is from Rfam by way of RNAcentral. Lineage: Eukaryota; Fungi; Ascomycota; Sordariomycetes; Diaporthales; Schizoparmaceae.